CUCAUCGAUACAAUUAGGCAGCACCCCAUACUGUACGACAAAAGGCACUUGAAUUUCGAGAACAUUGCCUACAAGGAGCAGCUAUGGGACGUGAUCCGGAAAGAAAUGGGAGUGAGUGCCCCUUGCACACGACCACUGGCAGCCGUGGGCACAGCAGGCCGUCCAAGCUUUCUGUGGGAAGCAUGUCGUCGUGCGGCGAGAGCAGCGGCUGCCACCGGGGCCGCCGACCCACCGCGCCGCGCCGCGCGAUGGGCUCCCGAAGCCACUGGUUCGACGACACGCUCUACACGCGAAGCGGCGUCAGUGCCCGACAGUCCAUGACCGCGAGCCACAUAGGGAGCCAGUUUGGAACCGCAACCAAGAAGAAGACCAGAAG
Dermacentor albipictus is the source of this 376-nucleotide long non-coding RNA. RefSeq lists it as uncharacterized. The record is from RefSeq and is a predicted model, not a curated record. NCBI's taxonomy places the organism in Eukaryota, Metazoa, Arthropoda, Arachnida, Ixodida, Ixodidae.